UUUGACCUCUUUUAUCAGAUUUCAUCUGUUGUUGCAAUUGCUCUUGGUUCCUUCAUUCGUUGUGUGGGUUUGAUUUGGAGGAAAGGGAUCGAUCUUUCCUUGAGGGGAGAAGAGGGAUUUUGGUCGUUGUGUUCUGUUUUCUUGAAUGCUUUAGACUUAUGAUUCUGCUUCGGUGCUAGACAAAGGACGCCUUACACUGGAUUGUCAAAGCUUGGAGGAACAAACUUUCUUGCUGGGAGAUGAAUCUGUACAUGCAUUUGUCUUCAAGCGUUCAACGUGAACAUCUGAGAAAAUUCAAAUGCUUGGUGUGUCAAUAAUUUGCAACCUUGGGGUUUUUGAUGAAGGAAAUCAGUAUCUUGGGGAAUAUAUCUCAUUGUCUAUUGCUUGCUGCAGGUAGUACAAGCUGCUAGGGCAAAGUUUUGUAUGUGUCUCCAAUUAGAUAAGCAAAUUUACAUAUGUGUAUGUGCGGGGGUAUGUGCGCUGGAAACAUUGGCUUUAUUGAUGUGAUAGAGGCAAUUUUGUCAACAUCAGUAGUUCCUAGGACAUCAAGAAUUUGAAAUUCCAUAUAUGGCUGCAAGGUGAAAGGUGCUUAUUAGGUAGGAAAGGUACGGGGUUUUAUACCAGUAAACUUGGUUGGGAGUAUGGCUUUUUUGCCAAUAUGCAUGUAUAGAAUCCCUGGCUUGGCACUACUAUUCAUGGCUGUCCUGCCAGAUUCCAUUUAUUUUUUUUCUUCAGGGAUGAACUUGAAAAGUCCAAAUUUGCCAAACCUAUUGGUUUGAAAAAAAUUGUUGGACUCAAAUGCACAGAUUGGGAUUUAUAAGGAUCUAAAACCAACAGUUUUAUAUUGGUUUUAAAUUUAUCCAUCUGUUGGCCAUAAAAUCCAGUCCGUGCAUUGAAUUUUGAUGGUUUUUUUUUAGAUCUACAGAUUUGAGCCUUCAAAGUUCAUUGGAGAAGUCAGAUUUUAGGAAUUAGCUGAAUGGCCAAAAACAGUCGGGUGCUGAAUUCAGUUGUAUAUAUAUGGCCUGGAAAUUCAUGUUUUCACUUUAAUACUGUAGAUGUGCUUAACGUUAUAGGUUUGGUAGGAUCAACCACUAAAGCGUUUCUUCGAAAAACAAUGUCUUUUUUGAACAUCUAAUCUGUUGUCCUCUUGACGACUGAUUUUGAAUUACCAGAAAAAGCCUUCUUACAUGUUGGAAUCUAAUGAUCAAAUGCUGAUCCAUAUUAAACAGAGAAAAGCAUUUAUAGUUGUUAUAAAUUAAACCAUGUCGGGUCAUGGAAAAUAUGUCUGGUGAAAAGUUGAUUGAACCAUAUGGUAACAUGGGAAGAUCUUUGAUUUCUAACGUUGUUGAUUGGAGAUCUUCUUUGUUUUGUUUAGACAUAGUAGCUUAGCCUUUCCUUGAUCUUGUGGCAUGCCAAUUACAUCUUUGAUGGUUUCCAGAGGAUUUUACUGUCUAAACUGGGUUCUUACAGCUCGUUUAGCAGCUCUAGUUCUAGAGUUGCACUGCCUUUUGGAGUUACAAAGAAUCUGAUAUCCUAUUUUAUUGUAUCGUGGAGAAGUUGGAUGAUUCUUGGAUGGACAACUUGACCCGUAAUCUUAAUUUUGUUUUGUUAAUGUACUGGUAUUUCUGGGUUAUGUUUCGAGUCUUUUGACCUAUUGACUAAGGACUUGUGUUUUUUUUUUUUGCUAUGUUAUGCACAUAAUUCUGGAGACUGGGCAUCCUUUGAGCUCUCCAAUUUUUGAAUCUCAAUAAGCGUUUUCUGAUGUGAUGUAGUUUGAUAUUUUAGUUAUCCAUUUUAUGAAUUUCGAUCAGCUCUUUCUGAUGUUAUGUGAUGACUCAGUCUUCCAUCUCCGUCUUUUUAUAUUUGUGUUUCUUGGUUCAGUUUCACCCAGGGAAAAACGUUGGAAUUGGCAAGGACCAUACGCUAUUUUCCUUGAUCGAUGGACUGGUCAAGUUUGAGAAAUUUGGACCAGACAGGAAAAAGGUGAGUGUUUACCCACGUGUUGUUCAACCUGAAAACCCAAAUAGCUACAAGGCAAGAAGAAGGGAGUAUUUCCGACUCCAACGGGAGCGUCUCAAAGCAAAAAAGGAAGGCAUUUUAUCUCCUCAGUUAGUUUUAGCUUCAAAAGAGGAGGUCCCAGAAGAUGCAGCUUCUUGUUAAUAAUUUGAACUUGAUUUUGCCGUAGAGGUAAAGUGCCAUCUUGUUAGUGCGUUUGAUUUGUUGUUUGUUUUACAAAUCUAAGGAGGCCAAUUAAUGGAAAAGUUGCUCUUUCUUGAUUA
Nymphaea colorata (pocket water lily) is the source of this 2279-nucleotide long non-coding RNA. RefSeq lists it as uncharacterized. The transcript has 2 exons. NCBI's taxonomy places the organism in Eukaryota, Viridiplantae, Streptophyta, Magnoliopsida, Nymphaeales, Nymphaeaceae. The record is from RefSeq and is a predicted model, not a curated record.